Molecule: ribosomal RNA, 440 nt
Filed under: uncultured bacterium
Lineage: Bacteria
Description: partial 16S ribosomal RNA
Rfam family: Bacterial small subunit ribosomal RNA
Source: RNAcentral
CCUACGGGAGGCUGCAGUGGGGAAUAUUGCACAAUGGGGGAAACCCUGAUGCAGCGAUGCCGCGUGAGUGAAGAAGGAAUUCGUUAUGGAAAGCUCUAUCAGCAGGGAAGAAAAUGACGGUACCUGAGUAAGAAGCCCCGGCUAACUACGGGCCAGCAGCCGCGGUUAUACGUAGGGGGCAAGCGUUAUCCGGAUUUACUGGGUGUAAAGGGAGCGUAGACGGCAGAGCAAGUCUGGAGUGAAAGGCGGGGGCUCAACCCCCGGACUGCUCUGGAAACUGUACGGCUGGAGUGCAGGAGAGGUAAGUGGAAUGCCUAGUGUAGCGGUGAAAUGCGUAGAUAUUAGGAGGAACACCAGUGGCGAAGGCGGCUUACUGGACUGUAACUGACGUUGAGGCUCGAAAGCGUGGGGAGCAAACAGGAUUAGAUACCCUGGUAGUC